Molecule: non-coding RNA, 31 nt
Filed under: Rattus norvegicus (Norway rat)
Lineage: Eukaryota; Metazoa; Chordata; Mammalia; Rodentia; Muridae
Source: RNAcentral
UUCUAUAGAGCCAAUGAUGUUUGAUGUUAGU